This 77-nucleotide transfer RNA is filed under the name Gasteruption sp. M19. RNAcentral's name for it is "tRNA-Lys". The record is from RNAcentral. Lineage: Eukaryota; Metazoa; Arthropoda; Insecta; Hymenoptera; Gasteruptiidae.
UAUUAGAUGACUGAAAACGUAAAGUAUUGAUCUUUUAAAUCAAUUAUAGUAAAUAAUUAUACUCUUACUUCUAAUAA